Molecule: transfer RNA, 72 nt
Filed under: Camelus bactrianus (Bactrian camel)
Lineage: Eukaryota; Metazoa; Chordata; Mammalia; Artiodactyla; Camelidae
Also listed under: 1 other name
Rfam family: tRNA
About the family: Transfer RNA (tRNA) molecules are approximately 80 nucleotides in length. Their secondary structure includes four short double-helical elements and three loops (D, anti-codon, and T loops).
Source: Rfam by way of RNAcentral
GAAGGUAUAGCUCGGUGGUAGAGCACAUGCUUAGCAAGCACGAGGGCCUGGGUUCAAUCCCCAGUGCCUCCA